AGUUCGACAUUUGCUCCGAGCGGGACAGGAGCAGAAAUGUUUUUCUUGGUGACAGGUCGAGAUUCCCAUCCUAACUGGGGCAAUCUGCAGCAAGGCGCGUGCGCGGCCGCCAUAUUAAAGGGGAGAUGUGCAGUAUUACGCAUGCGCAGCCAUGCCGGAACAGGAAGGCGGAAGAGAGAAUGUUGUGACUUUCUUUCCUGGACCUAGAGUGAAAUUCCUUUGAAACUCGAGAAGGGGAGGAUUAAUUAACGGGAACCUUGAACCAAACAUCACGUCGUGAUCUGAGAGUCACUCGAUUAAUCAGGAUAUGAAUAUCAUCGGCCUUUGAAUGUGGAAGGAUAUUAGAAGGGGAGGAUUUGCAGUCGGCAAACUGAAACCAAACAUCACUUCAGGAUCUGUUGGAGUCACCUGACCUGAAUAUCAUCAGAUUUUGAACAUGGAAGGAAAAAGCACCAUUCACAGUGGAGAGAAACUGUACACGUGUUCUGUGUGUGGUCGAAGCUUUAGGCAAUCAUCUGGCCUGUCAAGACACAAGCUCAGUCACAUGGGGGAGAAACCGUGGAAAUGUGGGGGCUGUGGGAAGGGAUUCAGAUCUCCAUCUGAGCUGGAAAUUCACCAACGCAGCCACACCGGGGAGAGGCUGUUCAUCUGCUCUGAAUGUGGGAAGGGAUUCACUCAGUUAUCCACCCUGGUGACACAUCAGCGAGUUCACACUGGGGAAAGGCCAUUCAAGUGCACUAAAUGUGGGAAGGGAUUCACUCAGUUAACCAACCUGCUAACACACCAGCAAGUUCAUACUGAUGAGGGACCUUUUAAAUGUUCAGAUUGCGGGAAGUGCUAUAAAAGUUCCAGGGAUCUGAUGCACCAUUGUGUUCACACUGGGGAGAGACCAUUCAUCUGCUCAGUGUGUGGGAAGGAGUUCACUCAUUCAUUUAACCUCCUGAGACACCAGCGUAUUCACUCUGAUACAAGAACUUUUAAAUGUUCUGACUGUGAGGAGAGCUUUAAAGAUAACAGUGAUCUGCUGAGACACCAGUGCGUUCACCUGCUCCAUGUGUGGGGAUGAUUCUCUCGGGCAUUCACUCUACUGUAACACCAGCGAGUUCACACAGGGAAGAGACCGUUCACCUGCUCCAUGUGUGGGGAAGGUUUCACUCAGUUAUCCCACCUGCUGAGACACCAACAAGUUCACAAGUGACUGCGGGGGUUGGAUUCUGCUGUUAUUGCUGCUAUUAAUCACAUCCAGGACUGAACGAGUGGGUUAACCCUGAGGUGUGUAAGAAACGUGGCUGAGUCUCGCUCUUCCAUGGUUCAGAGCUCCUAGACAUGGAACAGAAGACUCCUUUACAACUGGGUUUAGAGUCAGGAAGAACAAUGGUGAAUGCUGGAAACGUGCUGUCAGAUCAGAGAUUGGUGUAAAACUGUGAUCUGUUCCCGAAUGAAAGUGAAACGGCAGGUUUAAGUUUCCAGUCUGCAAAUGGUACGAGGAUUUAAAAUGUUUGUGUGACAUUCCUGAGUUUACAAUUGUAAUGUAAUAGCAACAAUAAGUUGGAUUUCAAUAUGGAACCUUUAACCUCUCUCACCUUCCAUUGACUUCAAUGUAAUGGAAACUGACAGCUGGAACCUGUCGACAUUUGAAAGAUAUUUACAAAUGAUUCAAAAGUUUCUUACAGUUGCGAUCCUUCUCUGUUCUGUCCACUCGAGGUGUUAGACAACAGACUUUCUCCUAUGAAUAUUGAGCUGGAGUAUUGGACCGUGAUGUCUUUCCUUGUUCACUUUGUUGACUCUCAAUGUUGAAUCAGACACCAGGUAAUCAAGCUCACAACAACAGAUUGUCUUCUCCUGACUUUAUUAACAACACUGCAAUCAUACAGACAGAGUACUCAAUGAAGUACUUACAAAUGUCGUCAGUUGCAUACUUCAGGUUCUGUACUAUAGGAAUGGUGUAUUGGUGUGCAAUUUUAAUAUAACUUUAAUUCAAUAUUCCUUCUUUUAGUAUCCCGUCCACCACUUCCAUUACCUGAGUUUGUUUACUGAUUUUUGUUAUUGCAGAUUGUCACAUUUCCAUGUUUUCAACUUGAUUAUUUAGUCUAUAUAUUAAAUUUUAUGAUGUAAGUUACAGUUCAGCCUUUGAGCUGUGAAUGUAUUUCAUGAAUAAAAUACCAUUAUAUUUUAAAAA
Carcharodon carcharias (great white shark) is the source of this 2179-nucleotide long non-coding RNA. RefSeq lists it as uncharacterized. The transcript has 2 exons. The record is from RefSeq and is a predicted model, not a curated record. Lineage: Eukaryota; Metazoa; Chordata; Chondrichthyes; Lamniformes; Lamnidae.